This 506-nucleotide ribosomal RNA is filed under the name uncultured bacterium. RNAcentral describes it as "partial 16S ribosomal RNA". It matches the Rfam family "Bacterial small subunit ribosomal RNA", at positions 29 to 523 of the family's 1533-position model. The record is from RNAcentral.
AGUGAACGCUGGCGGUAGGCCUAACACAUGCAAGUCGAACGGCAGCACAGGAGAGCUUGCUCUAUGGGUGGCGAGUGGCGGACGGGUGAGGAAUACAUCGGAAUCUACUCUGUCGUGGGGGAUAACGUAGGGAAACUUACGCUAAUACCGCAUACGACCUACGGGUGAAAGCAGGGGACCUUCGGGCCUUGCGCGAUUGAAUGAGCCGAUGUCGGAUUAGCUAGUUGGCGGGGUAAAGGCCCACCAAGGCGACGAUCCGUAGAUGGUCUGGGAGGAUGAUCAGCCACGCUGGAACUGAAGAACGGUCCAGACUCCUACGGGAGGCAUCAGUGGGGAAUAUUGGACAAUGGGUGCAAGCCUGAUCCAGCCAUACCGCGUGGGUGAAGAAGGCCUUCGGGUUGUAAAGCCCUUUUGUUGGGAAAGAAAUCCAGCUGGCUAAUACCCUGUUGGGAUGACGGUACCCAAAGAAUAAGCACCGGCUAACUUCGUGCCAGCAGCCGCCGUAA